Molecule: long non-coding RNA, 652 nt
Filed under: Paramuricea clavata
Lineage: Eukaryota; Metazoa; Cnidaria; Anthozoa; Malacalcyonacea; Plexauridae
Source: RNAcentral
CUGCGUAUCCCCGUAUCCCCGUAUCAUUGAAAUAUAAUAGUUACCAAUUCUCCUUUUAAACUACUCGAAUAAUUACGUCAUUUUCUUUGACUGCGUAUUCCCGUAUCCCCGUAUCAUUGAAAUAUAAUAGUUACCAAUUCUCCUUUUAAACUACUCGAAUAAUCUUUGACUGCGUAUCCCCGUAUCCCCCAAAAGCAGACACUAUCAAAAUUUAUGGGACAAUCAUCUCUGCAAGAGUUGCAAGAGUGCCUAAACCAAUAUCAGUAUUUGUAAAGAAAUCACCCGAUACUUAUGAAGCAUGGCCAUCAAACUCACUCAUCACCCAAGACCAAUACGAAGAAAAAUACAGCCGUCAAUGUCACAGUGCCAUAACCCAGAACAUAAAGCAACUUUUAAUACGCCAAGGUUUCCUAAAUGNNNNNNNNNNNNNNNNNNNNCCCGUAUCCCCGUAUCAUUGAAAUAUAAUAGUUACCAAUUCUCCUUUUAAACUACUCGAAUAAUCUUUGACUGCGUAUCCCCGUAUCCCCCAAAAGCAGACACUAUCAAAAUUCAAAAGUGGCCGGGUAUUCUAUAAUCGCUCCGCUGGUAAUUCCAUACAGUAGGGGAUUUCUUUUUGGAGAUGUUUAGAGCCUUACAUUUGGAUGUAUUGAAG